CCUACGGGUGGCAGCAGUGGGGAAUAUUGGGCAAUGGGCGCAAGCCUGACCCAGCAACGCCGCGUGAAGGAAGAAGGCUUUCGGAUUGUAAACUUCUGUCGCGAGGGACGAAGAAUGACGGUAUCUCGUAAGAAAGCCUCGGCUAACUACGCGCCAGCAGCCGCGGUAAUACGGAGGGGGCAAGCGUUGUCCGGAAUGACUGGGCGUAAAGGGAGUGUAGGCGGUUUAUUAAGUUAGAUGUGAAAACCCGGGGCUUAACCGCGGAACUGCAUCUGAAACUGGUGAGCUGGAGUGCAGGAGAGGUGAGUGGAAUUCCUAGUGUAGCGGUGAAAUGCGUAGAGAUUAGGAGGAACACCAGAGGCGAAGGCGACUCACUGGACUGUAACUGACGCUGAGGCUCGAAAGCGUGGGGAGCAAACAGGAUUAGAUACCCUAGUAGUC
RNAcentral lists this ribosomal RNA (441 nucleotides) under uncultured bacterium. Its description in RNAcentral is "partial 16S ribosomal RNA". It matches the Rfam family "Bacterial small subunit ribosomal RNA", at positions 338 to 795 of the family's 1533-position model. The record is from RNAcentral.